AUUGAACGCUGGCGGAAUGCUUUACACAUGCAAGUCGAGCGGCAGCACGGGGGCAACCCUGGUGGCGAGCGGCGAACGGGUGAGUAACACAUCGGAACAUGCCCAGUCGUGGGGGAUAACACUUCGAAAGAAGUGCUAAUACCGCAUACGUCCUGAGGGAGAAAGCGGGGGAUCGCAAGACCUCGCGCGAUUGGAGUGGCCGAUGUCAGAUGAGCUAGUUGGUGGGGUAAAGGCCUACCAAGGCAACGAUCUGUAGCUGGUCUGAGAGGAUGAUCAGCCACACUGGGACUGAGACACGGCCCAGACUCCUACGGGAGGCAGCAGUGGGGAAUUUUGGGCAAUGGGGGCGACCCUGAUCCAGCCAUUCCGCGGGAGUGAAGAAGGCCUUCGGGUGGUAGAGCUCUGUCGGCAGGAGCGAAGCAGUGAGCUCUAACAUAGCUUGCUAAUGACGGUACCUGAAGAAGAAGCACCGGCUAACUACGUG
This 484-nucleotide ribosomal RNA is filed under the name uncultured bacterium. RNAcentral's name for it is "partial 16S ribosomal RNA". It matches the Rfam family "Bacterial small subunit ribosomal RNA", at positions 29 to 507 of the family's 1533-position model. The record is from RNAcentral.